This 1501-nucleotide ribosomal RNA is filed under the name metagenome. RNAcentral's name for it is "bacterial LSU rRNA". It matches the Rfam family "Bacterial large subunit ribosomal RNA", at positions 1429 to 2925 of the family's 2925-position model. The record is from RNAcentral.
GUCAAUAUUCCUGUACCGAUGUGUAGUGCGAUGUGGGGACGGAGAAGGUUAACUCAGCCGGGUGUUGGAUGUCCCGGUUCAAGCCUGUAGUCGUGCUGCCUAGGCAAAUCCGGGCGGCUUAGAUGAGGGGUGAUAACGAAGCGGCUUGCCGCUGAAGUGAGUGAUACCCUGCUUCCAGGAAAAGCCACUAAGCUCCAGCUACACACGACCGUACCGCAAACCGACACUGGUGCGCGAGAUGAGUAUUCUAAGGCGCUUGAGAGAACUCUGGAGAAGGAACUCGGCAAAUUGACACCGUAACUUCGGAAGAAGGUGUGCCUUUAGUGGGUGAAAUUGUACAAAUGGAGCCCAAUGAGGCCGCAGAGAAUCGGUGGCUGCGACUGUUUAUUAAAAACACAGCACUCUGCAAAGACGAAAGUCGACGUAUAGGGUGUGACGCCUGCCCGGUGCUGGAAGAUUAAAUGAUGGGGUGCAAGCUCUUGAUUGAAGUCCCAGUAAACGGCGGCCGUAACUAUAACGGUCCUAAGGUAGCGAAAUUCCUUGUCGGGUAAGUUCCGACCUGCACGAAUGGCGUAACGAUGGCCACACUGUCUCCUCCAGAGACUCAGCGAAGUUGAAAUGUUUGUGAUGAUGCAAUCUCCCCGCGGAGAGACGGAAAGACCCCAUGAACCUUUACUGUAGCUUUACAUUGGACUUUGAACAGAUCUGUGUAGGAUAGGUGGGAGGCUUUGAAGCGGUGCCGCUAGGUAUCGUGGAGCCAACGUUGAAAUACCACCCUGGUGUGUUUGAGGUUCUAACCUUGGCCCGUUAUCCGGGUUGGGGACAGUGUAUGGUAGGCAGUUUGACUGGGGCGGUCUCCUCCUAAAGCGUAACGGAGGAGUUCGAAGGUACGCUAGGCACAGUCGGAAAUCGUGCUGAUAGUGCAUUGGCAUAAGCGUGCUUGACUGCGAGACUGACAAGUCGAGCAGGUACGAAAGUAGGACAAAGUGAUCCGGUGGUUCUGUAUGGAAGGGCCAUCGCUCAACGGAUAAAAGGUACUCUGGGGAUAACAGGCUGAUACCGCCCAAGAGUUCAUAUCGACGGCGGUGUUUGGCACCUCGAUGUCGGCUCAUCUCAUCCUGGGGCUGUAGCCGGUCCCAAGGGUAUGGCUGUUCGCCAUUUAAAGAGGUACGUGAGCUGGGUUUAAAACGUCGUGAGACAGUUUGGUCCCUAUCUUCCGUGGGCGCUGCAAGAUUGAGAGAGCCUGCUCCUAGUACGAGAGGACCGGAGUGGACGCACCUCUGGUGUAUCGGUUGUCACGCCAGUGGCAUUGCCGAGUAGCUAUGUGCGGAAGAGAUAACCGCUGAAAGCAUCUAAGCGGGAAACUCGUCUCAAGAUGAGUCUUGCCGGGGCCUUGAGCCCCCUGAAGAGUCGUUCGAGACCAGGACGUUGAUAGGCCGGGUGUGGAAGCUGGGUAACCAGUUAAGCUAACCGGUACUAAUUGCUCGUGAGGCUUGACCCC